AGGAGUAUAGCUUAGUGGUAGAGCACAUGUUUGGCAUGCACAAAGUCCUGGGUUAAUCCCCAGUGCUUCUG
RNAcentral lists this transfer RNA (71 nucleotides) under Camelus bactrianus (Bactrian camel). It matches the Rfam family "tRNA". From Rfam's summary of the family: Transfer RNA (tRNA) molecules are approximately 80 nucleotides in length. Their secondary structure includes four short double-helical elements and three loops (D, anti-codon, and T loops). Further hydrogen bonds mediate the characteristic L-shaped molecular structure. tRNAs have two regions of fundamental functional importance: the anti-codon, which is responsible for specific mRNA codon recognition, and the 3' end, to which the tRNAs corresponding amino acid is attached (by aminoacyl-tRNA synthetases). tRNAs cope with the degeneracy of the genetic code in two manners: having more than one tRNA (with a specific anti-codon) for a particular amino acid; and 'wobble' base-pairing, i.e. permitting non-standard base-pairing at the 3rd anti-codon position. Lineage: Eukaryota; Metazoa; Chordata; Mammalia; Artiodactyla; Camelidae. The record is from Rfam by way of RNAcentral. RNAcentral also lists the same sequence under 2 other names.